This 500-nucleotide ribosomal RNA is filed under the name uncultured bacterium. Its description in RNAcentral is "partial 16S ribosomal RNA". It matches the Rfam family "Bacterial small subunit ribosomal RNA", at positions 29 to 523 of the family's 1533-position model. The record is from RNAcentral.
AUUGAACGCUGGCGGCAGGCCUAACACAUGCAAGUCGAACGGCAGCGCGGACUUCGGUAUGGCGGCGAGUGGCGAACGGGUGAGUAAUACAUCGGAACGUACCCUGUUGUGGGGGAUAACUAGUCGAAAGAUUAGCUAAUACUGCAUACGACCUGAGGGUGAAAGUGGGGGACCGGCAGGCCUGACGCAGCAGGAGCGGCCGAUGUCUGAUUAGCUAGUUGGUGGGGUAAAGGUCCACCAAGGCGACGAUCAGUAGCUGGUCUGAGAGGACGAUCAGCCACACUGGGACUGAGACACGGCCCAGACUCCUACGGGAGGCAGCAGUGGGGAAUUUUGGACAAUGGGGGCAACCCUGAUCCAGCAAUGCCGCGUGUGUGAAGAAGGCCUUCGGGUUGUAAAGCACUUUUGUCCGGAAAGAAAUCGCGCUGGUUAAUACCUGGCGUGGAUGACGGUACCGGAAGAAUAAGCACCGGCUAACUACGUGCCAGCAGCCGCGGUAA